GACGAACGCUGGCGGCGUGCUUAACACAUGCAAGUCGAACGGAAAGGCCCUGCUUUUGUGGGGUGCUCGAGUGGCGAACGGGUGAGUAACACGUGAGUAACCUGCCCUUUACUUUGUGAUAACUUCAGGAAACUGGGGCUAAUACCGGAUAGGAGCUCCUGCUGCAUGGUGGGGGUUGGAAAGUUUCGGCGGUUGGGGAUGGACUCGCGGCUUAUCAGCUUGUUGGUGGGGUAGUGGCUUACCAAGGCUUUGACGGGUAGCCGGCCUGAGAGGGUGACCGGCCACAUUGGGACUGAGAUACGGCCCAGACUCCUACGGGAGGCAGCAGUGGGGAAUAUUGCACAAUGGGCGGAAGCCUGAUGCAGCAACGCCGCGUGCGGGAUGACGGCCUUCGGGUUGUAAACCGCUUUCGACUGUGACGAAGCGUGAGUGACGGUAAUGGGUAAAGAAGCACCGGCUAACUACGUG
This 468-nucleotide ribosomal RNA is filed under the name uncultured bacterium. RNAcentral's name for it is "partial 16S ribosomal RNA". It matches the Rfam family "Bacterial small subunit ribosomal RNA", at positions 28 to 507 of the family's 1533-position model. The record is from RNAcentral.